RNAcentral lists this unclassified non-coding RNA (305 nucleotides) under plant metagenome. RNAcentral describes it as "partial contains 5.8S ribosomal RNA, internal transcribed spacer 2, and large subunit ribosomal RNA". The stretch from base 1 to 104 matches the Rfam family "5.8S ribosomal RNA", at positions 51 to 154 of the family's 154-position model. The record is from RNAcentral.
AAAUGCGAUAAGUAGUGUGAAUUGCAGAAUUCAGUGAAUCAUCGAAUCUUUGAACGCACAUUGCGCCCGCCAGUAUUCUGGCGGGCAUGCCUGUCCGAGCGUCAUUUCAACCAUCAAGCCCCCGGGCUUGUGUUGGGGACCUGCGGCUGCCCGCAGGCCCUGAAAACCAGUGGCGGGCUCGCUGUCACACCGAGCGUAGUAGCAAUCACCUCGCUCAGGGCGUGCUGCGGGUUCCGGCCGUUAAACAGCCUUACAAAACCCAAGGUUGACCUCGGAUCAGGUAGGAAGACCCGCUGAACUUAAGC